RNAcentral lists this ribosomal RNA (529 nucleotides) under uncultured bacterium. Its description in RNAcentral is "bacterial SSU rRNA". It matches the Rfam family "Bacterial small subunit ribosomal RNA", at positions 777 to 1314 of the family's 1533-position model. The record is from RNAcentral.
AAUAGAUACCCGGGUAGUCCACGCCGUAAACGAUGGAUACUAGCUGUUGGGGGCAACUUCAGUGGCUAAGCGAAAGUGAUAAGUAUCCCACCUGGGGAGUACGAACGCAAGUUUGAAACUCAAAGGAAUUGACGGGGGCCCGCACAAGCGGUGGAGCAUGUGGUUUAAUUCGAUGAUACGCGAGGAACCUUACCAAGGCUUAAAUGCAGACUGACCGAUUUGGAAACAGAUCUUUCGCAAGACAGUUUACAAGGUGCUGCAUGGUUGUCGUCAGCUCGUGCCGUGAGGUGUCAGGUUAAGCCCUAUAACGAGCGCAACCCCUGUUGUUAGUUGCCAGCGAGUCAUGUCGGGAACUCUAACAAGACUGCCAGUGCAAACUGUGAGGAAGGUGGGGAUGACGUCAAAUCAUCACGGCCCUUACGCCUUGGGCUACACACGUGCUACAAUGGCCGGUACAGAGAGCAGCCACUGGGCGACCAGGAGCGAAUCUAUAAAGCCGGUCACAGUUCGGAUCGGAGUCUGCAACUCG